RNAcentral lists this ribosomal RNA (1336 nucleotides) under uncultured bacterium. RNAcentral describes it as "bacterial SSU rRNA". It matches the Rfam family "Bacterial small subunit ribosomal RNA", at positions 28 to 1381 of the family's 1533-position model. The record is from RNAcentral.
GACGAACGCUGGCGGCGCGCCUAACACAUGCAAGUCGAACGAGCGAGAGAGAGCUUCCUUUCUCGAGCGAGUGGCGAACGGGUGAGUAACGCGUGAGGAACCUGCCUCAAAGAGGGGGACAACAGUUGGAAACGACUGCUAAUACCGCAUAAGCCCACGGCUCGGCAUCGAGCAGAGGGAAAAGGAGCAAUCCGCUUUGAGAUGGCCUCGCGUCCGAAUUAGCUAGUUGGUGAGGUAACGGCCCACCAAGGCGACGAUCGGUAGCCGGAACUGAGAGGUUGAAACGGCCACAUUGGGACUGAGACACGGCCCAGAACUCCUACGGGAGGCAGCAGUGGGGAAUAUUGCACAAUGGGGGAAACCCUGAUGCAGCGACGCCGCGUGGAGGAAGAAGGUCUUCGGAUUGUAAACUCCUGUUGUUGAGGAGGAUAAUGACGGUACUCAACAAGGAAGUGACGGCUAACUACGUGCCAGCAGCCGCGGUAAAACGUAGGUCACAAGCGUUGUCCGGAAUUACUGGGUGUAAAGGGAGCGCAGGCGGGAAGACAAGUUGGAAGUGAAAUCCAUGGGCUCAACCCAUGAACUGCUUUCAAAACUGUUUUUCUUGAGUAGUGCAGAGGUAGGCGGAAUUCCCGGUGUAGCGGUGGAAUGCGUAGAUAUCGGGAGGAACACCAGUGGCGAAGGCGGCCUACUGGGCACCAACUGACGCUGAGGCUCGAAAGUGUGGGUAGCAAGCAGGAUUAGAUACCCUGGUAGUCCACACUGUAAACGAUGAUUACUAGGUGUUGGAGGAUUGACCCCUUCAGUGCCGCAGUUAACACAAUAAGUAAUCCACCUGGGGAGUACGACCGCAAGGUUGAAACUCAAAGGAAUUGACGGGGGCCCGCACAAGCAGUGGAGUAUGUGGUUUAAUUCGACGCAACGCGAAGAACCUUACCAAGUCUUGACAUCCUGCGACGCACAUAGAAAUAUGUGUUUCCUUCGGGACGCAGAGACAGGUGGUGCAUGGUUGUCGUCAGCUCGUGUCGUGAGAUGUUGGGUUAAGUCCCGCAACGAGCGCAACCCUUAUGGUCAGUUACUACGCAAGAGGACUCUGGCCAGACUGCCGUUGACAAAACGGAGGAAGGUGGGGAUGACGUCAAAUCAUCAUGCCCUUUAUGACUUGGGCUACACACGUACUACAAUGGCGUUAAACAAAGAGAAGCAAGACCGCGAGGUGGAGCAAAACUCAGAAACAACGUCCCAGUUCGGACUGCAGGCUGCAACUCGCCUGCACGAAGUCGGAAUUGCUAGUAAUCGCAGAUCAGCAUGCUGCGGUGAAUACGUUCCCGGGCCU